CACGUAGGGAGCAAGCGUUGUCCGGAUUUAUUGGGCGUAAAGAGCUCGUAGGUGGUUCGGUAAGUCAGGUGUGAAACCUCCAGGCUCAACCUGGAGACGCCACUUGAUACUGCUGUGACUGGAGUCCGGUAGGGGAGCGUGGAAUUCCUGGUGUAGCGGUGAAAUGCGCAGAUAUCAGGAGGAACACCAGCGGCAAAGGCGGCGCUCUGGGCCGGUACUGACACUGAGGAGCGAAAGCGUGGGUAGCAAACAGG
This 254-nucleotide ribosomal RNA is filed under the name uncultured bacterium. Its description in RNAcentral is "partial 16S ribosomal RNA". It matches the Rfam family "Bacterial small subunit ribosomal RNA", at positions 524 to 776 of the family's 1533-position model. The record is from RNAcentral.